This 1245-nucleotide ribosomal RNA is filed under the name Escherichia coli. RNAcentral describes it as "bacterial LSU rRNA". It matches the Rfam family "Bacterial large subunit ribosomal RNA", at positions 1109 to 2337 of the family's 2925-position model. The record is from RNAcentral. Lineage: Bacteria; Pseudomonadati; Pseudomonadota; Gammaproteobacteria; Enterobacterales; Enterobacteriaceae.
GAAGCAGCCAUCAUUUAAAGAAAGCGUAAUAGCUCACUGGUCGAGUCGGCCUGCGCGGAAGAUGUAACGGGGCUAAACCAUGCACCGAAGCUGCGGCAGCGACACUAUGUGUUGUUGGGUAGGGGAGCGUUCUGUAAGCCUGUGAAGGUGUGCUGUGAGGCAUGCUGGAGGUAUCAGAAGUGCGAAUGCUGACAUAAGUAACGAUAAAGCGGGUGAAAAGCCCGCUCGCCGGAAGACCAAGGGUUCCUGUCCAACGUUAAUCGGGGCAGGGUGAGUCGACCCCUAAGGCGAGGCCGAAAGGCGUAGUCGAUGGGAAACAGGUUAAUAUUCCUGUACUUGGUGUUACUGCGAAGGGGGGACGGAGAAGGCUAUGUUGGCCGGGCGACGGUUGUCCCGGUUUAAGCGUGUAGGCUGGUUUUCCAGGCAAAUCCGGAAAAUCAAGGCUGAGGCGUGAUGACGAGGCACUACGGUGCUGAAGCAACAAAUGCCCUGCUUCCAGGAAAAGCCUCUAAGCAUCAGGUAACAUCAAAUCGUACCCCAAACCGACACAGGUGGUCAGGUAGAGAAUACCAAGGCGCUUGAGAGAACUCGGGUGAAGGAACUAGGCAAAAUGGUGCCGUAACUUCGGGAGAAGGCACGCUGAUAUGUAGGUGAAGUCCCUCGCGGAUGGAGCUGAAAUCAGUCGAAGAUACCAGCUGGCUGCAACUGUUUAUUAAAAACACAGCACUGUGCAAACACGAAAGUGGACGUAUACGGUGUGACGCCUGCCCGGUGCCGGAAGGUUAAUUGAUGGGGUUAGCCGCAAGGCGAAGCUCUUGAUCGAAGCCCCGGUAAACGGCGGCCGUAACUAUAACGGUCCUAAGGUAGCGAAAUUCCUUGUCGGGUAAGUUCCGACCUGCACGAAUGGCGUAAUGAUGGCCAGGCUGUCUCCACCCGAGACUCAGUGAAAUUGAACUCGCUGUGAAGAUGCAGUGUACCCGCGGCAAGACGGAAAGACCCCGUGAACCUUUACUAUAGCUUGACACUGAACAUUGAGCCUUGAUGUGUAGGAUAGGUGGGAGGCUUUGAAGUGUGGACGCCAGUCUGCAUGGAGCCGACCUUGAAAUACCACCCUUUAAUGUUUGAUGUUCUAACGUUGACCCGUAAUCCGGGUUGCGGACAGUGUCUGGUGGGUAGUUUGACUGGGGCGGUCUCCUCCUAAAGAGUAACGGAGGAGCACGAAGGUUGGCUAAUCCUGGUCGGACA